CACGUGGGUGGCGAGCGUUAUUCGGAUUCACUGGGCGUAAAGGGUCCGCAGGGGGCCUGCCGCGCCCGCGGUGAAAUCCCAUGGCUCAACCAUGGGACUGCCGCGGGUACGGGCGGGCUGGAGUGUGUGAUGGGCAGACGGAAUACCAGGUGUAGCGGUGGAAUGCGUGGAUAUCUGGUAGAACACCGAUGGCGAAGGCGGUCUGCUGGCACAUCACUGACCCUCAUGGACGAGAGUGUGGGUAGCGAAC
This 250-nucleotide ribosomal RNA is filed under the name uncultured prokaryote. RNAcentral's name for it is "partial 16S ribosomal RNA". It matches the Rfam family "Bacterial small subunit ribosomal RNA", at positions 524 to 773 of the family's 1533-position model. The record is from RNAcentral.